GGGUCCUAACAUGCAAGUCGAGCGACAGAUGGGAGCUUGCUCCCUGAAGUCAGCGGCGGACGGGUGAGUAACACGUGGGCAACCUGCCUGUAAGACUGGGAUAACUCCGGGAAACCGGGGCUAAUACCGGAUAAUUCUUUCCCUCACAUGAGGGAAAGCUGAAAGAUGGUUUCGGCUAUCACUUACAGAUGGGCCCGCGGCGCAUUACUAGUUGGUGAGGUAACGGCUCACCAAGGCAACGAUGCGUAGCCGACCUGAAGGGUGAUCGGCCACCUGGGACUGAACACGGCCCAGACUCCUACGGGAGGCAGCAGUAGGGAAUCUUCCGCAAUGGACGAAAGUCUGACGGAGCAACGCCGCGUGAGUGAUGAAGGUUUUCGGAUCGUAAAACUCUGUUGUUAGGGAAGAACAAGUACCGGAGUAACUGCCGGUACCUUGACGGUACCUAACCAGAAAGCCACGGCUAACUACGUGCCAGCAGCCGCGGUAAUACUAGGUGGCAAGCGUUGUCCGGAAUUAUUGGGCGUAAAGCGCGCGCAGGCGGUUCCUUAAGUCGAUGUGAAAGCCCCCGGCUCAACCGGGGAGGGUCAUUGGAAACUGGGGAACUUGAGUGCAGAAGAAAGAGUGGAAUUCCACGUGUAGCGGUGAAAUGCGUAGAGAUGUGGAGGAACACCAGUGGCGAAGGCGACUCUUUGGUCUGUAACUGACGCUGAGGCGCGAAAGCUGGGGAGCAAACAGGAUUAGAUACCCUGGUAGUCCACGCCGUAAACGAUGAGUGCUAAGUGUUAGAGGGUUUCCGCCCCUUUAGUGCUGCAGCAACGCAUUAAGCACUCCGCCUGGGGGAGUACGGCCGCAAGGCUGAAACUCAAGGAAUUGACGGGGGCCCGCACAAGCGGUGGAGCAUGUGGGUUUAUCGAAGCAACGCGAACCCUUACCAGCUUGACAUCUCUUGACACCAAAUAGGCGUUCCCUUCGGGGACAGAUGACAGGGGUGCAUGUGUCGUCAGCUCGUGUCGAGAUGUUUGGGUAGUCCCGCAACGACACCGAUCUUGCAGCAUUCAGUUGGCCUUAGGACUGCGUGACAACUAGAGGUGGGAUGACGUCUCAUGGCCAAACCUGUACCGAUCGUCUGGCGAGC
This 1138-nucleotide ribosomal RNA is filed under the name Bacillus sp. (in: firmicutes). Its description in RNAcentral is "bacterial SSU rRNA". It matches the Rfam family "Bacterial small subunit ribosomal RNA", at positions 44 to 1216 of the family's 1533-position model. The record is from RNAcentral. Lineage: Bacteria; Bacillati; Bacillota; Bacilli; Caryophanales; Bacillaceae.